Molecule: long non-coding RNA, 2780 nt
Organism: Hylaeus anthracinus
Lineage: Eukaryota; Metazoa; Arthropoda; Insecta; Hymenoptera; Colletidae
Exons: 2
Source: RefSeq, a predicted model, not a curated record
AACCGUAACUUGGCUUAAUUGAUUUUAUAAAAAAAAAAAAAAUCAAGACAAUCGAAAACACAUGUGACCGAAUCCUAGCGCAUGUGCUCGAAUCGUUGAUAUACACUUGCACUGACAAAAUUUGCGAAUCACUGGUUUAACGAUGACCGGUUGCUAAUUAUUUGCAGGUACUACACGACAAUAAGCAGCGCAGAGCAAAGAAGACGUUACAAGGCAGAAUUCAACGCGGACUACGAAGAAUAUCGAAGGUUGCAUACUCAAGUGGCGAAGGUUUCUAAACGGUUCUCGCAACUCCAAGACCGAUUAAGACAAGAAGAGGCCUCUGGGAACUGGGAAGAAUAUCAGGGAAUAAGACAGCAGAUUCUGUACGAGUAUAACGAAACGAAACGGGACCCGGUACACAAGGAGACGAAACGUCGGUUUCACUAUCUGCACGAGAAGCUAAGCCAUAUCAAACGGCUGGUACUCGAAUACGAUACUCAAAACUGCGGCGGCAACAUGGUGACGGCGUCCGGGAACAGCGCAGACGGUAGCAACGAAAUGAAGGAGAUGGACAGUUUGCACUACUGACACAAACUGAAAAGGCCGCCUCUUAUCCUCCACCUUUUCUCGGUUGUCGGUACACUGCUGUCUCCGUUGUCGCAGAAUUUGCAUUUUCUCGGCAUGUUCCAAGGCUGAUCUAAAACGGUCCACAUGGUUCCUGGGUUCUAUCGCCGAAAAAUAAAACACACACACACACACACAGUCAAGCACUCUGAGAGCCGGGGUCGCAAAAGAUGUUCACAUCAUCCGCAUCGCAAGAGAAACGAAAAAAUGAAAAAAUAUGAAAGAAACCUUCAACGCUGUUAAUAACCGCCCCCCUCCCUGGUCAGGUCGAAGAUUUCUCGGUUAAUUGACACAGCGAUCUCUUCGACUUGCGCCCGUGUUUGUCACACGCCUACCGUUGACCAAUGGGUUUAACCACUGACGAAGCCUUUACGACAAUCGGUACGUUUGCAAACAAACAAACAAACAAGCAACAUCAUCAACUGUUUAAAAAAUGAAAAACAUGCAAAACGAAAGGAAAGAAAAAAGGAAACAAAAAGUCCAUCCGUAUAGAGAGGAAACGAGAAAUAAGGGCAUUCGCGGAGAGCCGGUUACAAUAACGCGCCAGCUGAAAGUACGAAGACGUGUCUUUUUUUUUGUUUUUUUUUGUUUUUUUUUUAAAAAAAGCUAUCCUCCGACGAUAGGGAAGAUAAUAGGAACGACGAUGAAAGGCAAUGAAGAGAAUGCAGUAAUUAACUCUACGAUAAGUUACUUACCCGUGCGCACGUCCAAAGUGUGUCGUCCAGUUUAAGAGUACGUAGAUUAAUGAAACAAAAAGUAAAAAAGAAAAAAAACGAUGCAAUGCGAAUGCGAGAAGAGGGUCCAAAAAAAAAAUGGUAGUAAAAGGGCUUAAUCACGUGCCACGUCCGGAGGAGAGACUGUACUUCCAUUUUUCCGCCGGAAGGAGAAAAGGGAGACUAGCACACACAGACUGUCCACGAGCCCGCCUGCGAGGAUCGUCUGCGAUUGAUCCAGCGGGGCGUAGCUCGCCAUUUUCUUUCCUUCAAUUAUUUUUUUUUUUUCUCUUCGUUUAAACGUUUCCGUAUUUUUCGUGUUUUCCCUUCGAGAAAGAGUAAAGUGGAUCCGAUAUAUAGUUUGUCGCAAGAGAGAGAGACCUUUACGCUUCGCGAAUGUAAAACCUUUGUUACUUCCUCGUUCAGCGGCGUAGCCAGCGUAUCCCUGGGGCCCGUGGAAUGAAAAAUUAACGGUGGAACAAGCAAUCCGAGGUUCGAGUAAUAUUACAGAGGAAUCGCCAACGGUACCUGCGAUCAAUAUUCGAUAGAUUGAACCAAAUUUCUAUCUGAGAUAUUACAGGGCCUCGAUAUCCACCAUUUAUCGGACGUGCGUCUGCAAACAGCCACGUUCGCAAUUUUAAAACAAUCAAAGAUCAAUCGAUACCGCGUUCCUUUCUGUUUGUUCGUCUGGGGCCCCUGAAGUUAAUCAAUGAUAUAGUUGCGCCGCUGUCCCUCGUUCUUUGUUUUCUUCACUACGGCCCGCUCCUGUGUCGCGGACUCGGGCUACCUUUACUAGUAGAGAGUUGGCACAACUUGAGAAUCGAUCGCGCGAAAACGGCAGACAUGAAGAAAGGACGAAACAUGAUUGCUAAGGACUCAGUUUUAUUUUUGUUCUUUUUUUUUUUUAGAAAUACCUGCCAUAAAGUGAUAUAUUAACCGAGCAAAUCAACCGAUCGCGCCCCGGUUCGUUGAACUUCUGUCAGCGAUAGGCGAGAGAGGCAGGGACUGCGUCGAUAGUCGAGGGUCCCAAACCACCCCCCCCAGGUCCCUACCGAUUCGCGCGAUUGCUCUUAGUGAUUCCGGUUCUGUAUAUCGUAAACGCUAGGGUAAACCCAUUUUUUACUAUUUCAAGUUAGUCAUUGAAAGGGAGAAUGCUCAGCGCCAUCGUCAUCGAUACUGCAAAGAUUUUACACGCGGCAACAUGAAAAUACAAAAAAAAAAAAAAAGAAAAAAAUGAAAGAAACGAGAGAGAUGAAAUGAAACGAAGUGGUAUGAAUAUAUAUUGAAACGUACAGGUUUCAUUUAGUAAUUAUUAAUCGUCGCCGGCGAUAUAACAUAUUAGUAUACAAUGUACAGGUGCGCCAAUUUUCUUCGCGUGCAAGUAAUACCUUCUUCGUGUAAUUAUUAUUAUGGCGAUGAAUACUAUUAAUAUUAUUAUCAACGCUAUUGCUAUUAUAUUAU